This 74-nucleotide transfer RNA is filed under the name Candidatus Roizmanbacteria bacterium. RNAcentral describes it as "tRNA-Glu". It matches the Rfam family "tRNA". Rfam says of the family: Transfer RNA (tRNA) molecules are approximately 80 nucleotides in length. Their secondary structure includes four short double-helical elements and three loops (D, anti-codon, and T loops). Lineage: Bacteria; Candidatus Roizmaniibacteriota. The record is from RNAcentral.
GCUCUGUUCGUCUAGAGGCCUAGGACGUCAGGUUUUCAUCCUGGAGAUCGCGGGUUCAAAUCCCGCACAGAGUA